AUUGAACGCUGGCGGCAUGCUUUACACAUGCAAGUCGAACGGUAACAGGUUAAGCUGACGAGUGGCGAACGGGUGAGUAAUGCAUCGGAACGUGCCCGAUCGUGGGGGAUAACGCAGCGAAAGCUGCGCUAAUACCGCAUACGAUCUGAGGAUGAAAGCGGGGGACCGUAAGGCCUCGCGCGAUCGGCGCGGCCGAUGUCAGAUUAGGUAGUUGGUGGGGUAAAGGCUCACCAAGCCGACGAUCGGUAGCUGGUCUGAGAGGAUGAUCAGCCACACUGGGACUGAGACACGACCCAGACUCCUACGGGAGGCAGCAGUGGGGAAUUUUGGACAAUGGGGGAAACCCUGAUCCAGUCAUGCCGCGUGAGUGAAGAAGGCCUUCGGGUUGUAAAGCUCUUUCGGACGGAACGAAAUCGCUUGGGUGAAUAUCCUGAGUGGAUGACGGUACUGUAAGAAGAAGCACCGGCUAACUACGUGCCAGCCGCCGCGGUAA
Molecule: ribosomal RNA, 493 nt
Filed under: uncultured bacterium
Lineage: Bacteria
Description: partial 16S ribosomal RNA
Rfam family: Bacterial small subunit ribosomal RNA
Source: RNAcentral